GUGCCAGCCGCCGCGGUAAUACGGAGGGUGCAAGCGUUAUCCGGAUUUACUGGGUUUAAAGGGUGCGUAGGCGGGAAAAUAAGUCAGUGGUGAAAGCACCGGGCUCAACUCGGUAACUGCCAUUGAUACUGUUUUUCUUGAAUGCGAUUGAGGUAAGCGGAAUGUUGCAUGUAGCGGUGAAAUGCUUAGAUAUGUUACAGAACACCAAUUGUGAAGACAGCUUACUAAGUCGUGAUUGACGCUGAGGCACGAAAGCGUGGGGAGCAAACAGGAUUAGAAACCCCCGUAGUCC
Molecule: ribosomal RNA, 292 nt
Filed under: uncultured bacterium
Lineage: Bacteria
Description: partial 16S ribosomal RNA
Rfam family: Bacterial small subunit ribosomal RNA
Source: RNAcentral